GCCCGCGUAGCUCAGUGGAUAGAGCGUCUGCCUCCGAAGCAGAAGGUCCCGAGUUCAAUUCUCGGCGUGGGUAC
This 74-nucleotide transfer RNA is filed under the name Mycobacteroides abscessus subsp. abscessus. Its description in RNAcentral is "tRNA-Arg(ccg)". It matches the Rfam family "tRNA". Rfam says of the family: Transfer RNA (tRNA) molecules are approximately 80 nucleotides in length. Their secondary structure includes four short double-helical elements and three loops (D, anti-codon, and T loops). Further hydrogen bonds mediate the characteristic L-shaped molecular structure. tRNAs have two regions of fundamental functional importance: the anti-codon, which is responsible for specific mRNA codon recognition, and the 3' end, to which the tRNAs corresponding amino acid is attached (by aminoacyl-tRNA synthetases). tRNAs cope with the degeneracy of the genetic code in two manners: having more than one tRNA (with a specific anti-codon) for a particular amino acid; and 'wobble' base-pairing, i.e. permitting non-standard base-pairing at the 3rd anti-codon position. Lineage: Bacteria; Bacillati; Actinomycetota; Actinomycetes; Mycobacteriales; Mycobacteriaceae. The record is from RNAcentral. RNAcentral also lists the same sequence under 1 other name.